CCCUUAGAUGUUCUGGGCCGCACGCGCGCUACACUGAAGGGAUCAGCGUGUUUUCCCUUCCCGAGAGGGACGGGUAACCCGCUGAACCCCCUUCGUGGUAGGGAUCGGAGCUUGCAAUUGUUCUCCGUGAACCAGGAAUUCCCAGUAAGCGCAAGUCAUAAGCUUGCGUUGAUUACGUCCCUGCCCUUUGUACACACCGCCCGUCGCUACUACCGAUUGAACGUUUUAGUGAGGUAUUUGGACUGGGCCUUGGGAGGUUUCGGCCUCCCUUGUUGCUCGGAAAGACUCCCAAACUUGAGCGUUUAGAGGAAGUAAAAGUCGUAACA
RNAcentral lists this ribosomal RNA (326 nucleotides) under uncultured eukaryote. RNAcentral describes it as "partial 18S ribosomal RNA". It matches the Rfam family "Eukaryotic small subunit ribosomal RNA", at positions 1470 to 1796 of the family's 1831-position model. The record is from RNAcentral.